GUAACGGCGAGUGAAGAGGGAAGAGCCCAAGAUUGAAAGCUGGCGUCUUCGGCGUCCGCAUUGUAAUCUCAAGAAGUGUUUUCCGCUUCGGACCAAGCCUAAGUCCCUUGGAAAAGGGCAUCAUAGAGGGUGAUAAUCCCGUACAUGGCUUGGAGCGCCCGAAGCUUUGUGAUACGCUUUCUAAGAGUCGAGUUGUUUGGGAAUGCAGCUCAAAAUGGGUGGUAAAUGCCAUCUAAGGCUAAAUAUUGGGGAGAGACCGAUAGCGAACAAGUACAGUGAUGGAAAGAUGAAAAGAACUUUGAAAAGAGAGUUAAACAGUACGUGAAAUUGCCAAAAGGGAAAGGUAGGAGGUCAGAGAUGCGGCAUGGAUCAGCCUUGCUUUUGCUUGGUGUUUUCCCAAAUUGCAGGCAACGUCGGUUUUGGGCACUGGAGAAGGGUAGUAGGACGUGGGUACAAGGCUUGGAACGCCCGGAGCUUUGGGUUCGCUUUUAAGAGUGGAGUGUUUGGGAAUGCAGCUCAAAAUGGGUGGUAAUNCCAAUUAAGGCUAAAUAUUGGGGAGAGACCGAUAGCGAACAAGUACAGUGAUGGAAAGAUGAAAAGAACUUUGAAAAGAGAGUUAACAGUACGUGAAAUUGCCAAAAGGGAAGGGUAGGAGGUCAGAGAUGCGGCCUGGGAUUCAGCCUUGCUUUUGCUUGGUGUUUUUCCCAGAUUGCAGGCCAACGUCGGUUUUGGGCACUGGAGAAGGGUAGGAGGAACGUGGCACCUCUCGGGGUGUGUUAUAGCCUCCUACUGGAUACAGCGACCGAGACCGAGGACAGCAGCGUACUCGCAAGAGCGGGCCUUCGGGCACCUAUACGCUUAGGGCGUUGGCAUAAUGGCCCUCUACCACCCGUCUUGAAACACGGACC
Molecule: ribosomal RNA, 908 nt
Filed under: Pseudozyma sp. Y3-09
Lineage: Eukaryota; Fungi; Basidiomycota; Ustilaginomycetes; Ustilaginales; Ustilaginaceae
Description: eukaryotic LSU rRNA
Rfam family: Eukaryotic large subunit ribosomal RNA
Source: RNAcentral